CCUACGGGAGGCAGCAGUGGGGAAUAUUGCACAAUGGGGGAAACCCUGAUGCAGCGACGCCGCGUGAGUGAAGAAGUACUUCUUUACGUAAAGCUCUAUCAGCAGGGGAGAAAAUGACGGUACCUGAGUACGACGCCCCGGCUAACUACGUGCCAGCAGCCGCGGUAAUACGUAGGGGGCAAGCGUUUUCCGGAUUUACUGGGUGUAAAGGGAGCGUAGACGGUUCGCCAAGUCUGGAGUGAAAUGCCGCAGCUUAACUGCGGAACUGCUUUGGAAACUGGCGAACUAGAGUGCGGGAGGGGUAAGCGGAAUUCCUAGUGUAGCGGUGAAAGGCGUAGAGAUUAGGAGGAACACCGGUGGCGAAGGCGGCUUACGGGACCGCAACUGACGUUGAGGCUCGAAAGCGUGGGGAGCAAACAGGAUUAGAUACCCUUGUAGUC
This 440-nucleotide ribosomal RNA is filed under the name uncultured bacterium. RNAcentral's name for it is "partial 16S ribosomal RNA". It matches the Rfam family "Bacterial small subunit ribosomal RNA", at positions 338 to 795 of the family's 1533-position model. The record is from RNAcentral.